CUACGGGAGGCAGCAGUGGGGAAUCUUAGACAAUGGGGGCAACCCUGAUCUAGCCAUGCCGCGUGAGUGAUGAAGGCCUUAGGGUCGUAAAGCUCUUUCGCCUGUGAUGAUAAUGACAGUAGCAGGUAAAGAAACCCCGGCUAACUCCGUGCCGGCAGCCGCGGUAAUACGGAGGGGGUUAGCGUUGUUCGGAAUUACUGGGCGUAAAGCGCGCGUAGGCGGAUUAGAAAGUUGGGGGUGAAAUCCCGGGGCUCAACCCCGGAACUGCCUCCAAAACUGCUAGUCUAGAGUUCGAGAGAGGUGAGUGGAAUUCCGAGUGUAGAGGUGAAAUUCGUAGAUAUUCGGAGGAACACCAGUGGCGAAGGCGGCUCACUGGCUCGAUACUGACGCUGAGGUGCGAAAGUGUGGGGAGCAAACAGGAUUAGAUACCCUCGUAGUC
Molecule: ribosomal RNA, 439 nt
Filed under: uncultured bacterium
Lineage: Bacteria
Description: partial 16S ribosomal RNA
Rfam family: Bacterial small subunit ribosomal RNA
Source: RNAcentral